CUGAGGAUCGUUACCACAUCACCAGCCAUAUAAACCGCAUCUGGGAGCCAUGAAGAGUGUACGCUGUAACAUAUCCAACAACCCCCUAGCGACACUCGGGGGGCCUAGCAAGUCUCAAACCUAUGACCUCGCUUUGGUACUACAUGUUAGGACUGUAGCUCCUAACCACUCUUCUAAAAAGCAAUUGCCCCAUAGAAGGAGGUGUUCAUUAGCCUUGAUCCAC
This 223-nucleotide long non-coding RNA is filed under the name Elaeis guineensis (African oil palm). RNAcentral's name for it is "long non-coding RNA (EGUI_LNC012201)". Lineage: Eukaryota; Viridiplantae; Streptophyta; Magnoliopsida; Arecales; Arecaceae. The record is from RNAcentral.